UACGUAGGGGGCGAGCGUUGUCCGGAGUUAUUGGGCGUAAAGCGCGCGCAGGCGGUCUAGCCAGUCUGGAGUGACAGUUCCCGGCUUACCUGAAAGGUCUUCGGAAACUGCUAGACUUGAGGUACUCAGAGGGAGACGGAAUUCCAGGUGGAGCGGUGAAAUGCGUAGAGAUCUGGAGGAACACCAAAGGCGAAGGCAGUCUCCUGGGAGUUACCUGACGCUCAGGCGCGAAAGCCAGGGGAGCGAACGGG
Molecule: ribosomal RNA, 251 nt
Filed under: uncultured bacterium
Lineage: Bacteria
Description: partial 16S ribosomal RNA
Rfam family: Bacterial small subunit ribosomal RNA
Source: RNAcentral